CAACUUGAGAGUUUGAUCCUGGCUCAGAACGAACGCUGGCGGCAGGCUUAACACAUGCAAGUCGAACGCAUCCUUCGGGGUGAGUGGCAGACGGGUG
RNAcentral lists this non-coding RNA (97 nucleotides) under Microvirga sp. BSC39. RNAcentral describes it as "Bacterial small subunit ribosomal RNA". It matches the Rfam family "Bacterial small subunit ribosomal RNA", at positions 1 to 108 of the family's 1533-position model. Lineage: Bacteria; Pseudomonadati; Pseudomonadota; Alphaproteobacteria; Hyphomicrobiales; Methylobacteriaceae. The record is from Rfam by way of RNAcentral.